GAUGAAGAACGUAGCGAAAUGCGAUACGUAAUGUGAAUUGCAGAAUUCAGUGAAUCAUCGAAUCUUUGAACGCACAUUGCGCCCGCUAGUAUUCUGGCGGGCAUGCCUGUCCGAGCGUCAUUUCAACCCAUCAAGCUUAGCGCUUGUGUUGGAGCCCUGCGGCCGCCGCAGCCUCCUAAAAUCAGUGGCGGGCUCGCUAUCACGCUGAGUGCAGUAGUAUUCUUCUCACUCCUGUGGUGUAGCGGGUAACCAGCCCUAAACCCCCCCAUCUAUAAAGGUUGACCUCGGAUCAGGUAGGAAUACCCGCUGAACUUAAGCAUAUCAAUAAGCGGAGGA
RNAcentral lists this unclassified non-coding RNA (336 nucleotides) under soil metagenome. RNAcentral's name for it is "partial contains 5.8S ribosomal RNA, internal transcribed spacer 2, and large subunit ribosomal RNA". The stretch from base 1 to 120 matches the Rfam family "5.8S ribosomal RNA", at positions 35 to 154 of the family's 154-position model. The record is from RNAcentral.